Molecule: unclassified non-coding RNA, 1864 nt
Filed under: Yarrowia lipolytica
Lineage: Eukaryota; Fungi; Ascomycota; Dipodascomycetes; Dipodascales
Source: RNAcentral
CUCUUAGUAAGCAGCCGAGAGUUGAUCGUCGUGCCAUGGCGGUAAACAAGGCUCAUCAUCUCUCCGCAGCCGCCUCACUGACGCCUUCAUCUGCUCCCCGAUCGGUCAUCACAACGGACACUUUCUGAAACAGCAACCUACAGCGCAUCUCUCCAGAACACCAAGAGGAGGUUCCAGGCGGAAAGGCCAAUCUAUCAGUUUCGCCGGCUCUUUAGUCCACGAUGAGCAAGGCCAGCUAUUGCUUUUUCCAGCCAACAAGACCCUCUUGGCACCAUCUGGAAAUGGGCUUAAGUGUGCACAUUUAAUUCAUAGCCACAGAGUUUGGCCAGGGUUUGGUCCAAGUCUACCAUUAUGAGCACGACGAUAGCUGUGCAAGUCGGGGGCGACAACCGCCGGUGGUAUGGUCAGGUCGCCAGACCUCUUGCUCGUUUGAGGAGGUUGACGUCCAGCAGGACCGCACAGUUGCUUUGCUGUCUGAUAAGACAGAACCAGCCCAAUGCACUCCCUGUUCCUCCCCCAGAAAAAGCAAAUACCCUGUCAUGAUUACUCACAGAACUCUAGCGGGCCAAGAGGUCCCAAAAGAGCAUCUGGACCAUAGCCCAGGCGCCCCCAAACGCCGGUGGUCACCGCCAAAGAACCUCCGCGGACACAAGUAAUCACCGCCGCCGCUGCACACGACCGGCUUGCACCCUAGCUGCAAUCGACGCAAAGAAGUACCAUGGAACUGUCGGAGGGUGGGUAGUCUUUUUUUUCCGGGCUCCGUUCAUCACUACAAGUUGUUCAUUGUUCCUUCACAGUCGGGGCUAGUGCAAACAGUACGGCAACAAUUAGUACUGUACUGUACGCAAUUCGUACACUGUGUCCUCCAACUCCAAGGGUCAUGAUUGUGGGCUAGAUCUGUGGUCUAGAAUGACGAAACGCAAGGGGCGAAAUAAGCAGUAUACAAGCCAGAUCCGUGGUUCCCGCCCGGGAUUACAUCUUGCUCUUGUUCUGCUCUAUGAUUAUUGGGCGGCGGGCACCUCCACCCCAAGCCCUUUUAUGGACAGCAGAGAAAGAAAAAAAGAAGCAGUUAUUGCACACUAAAGCGGCAAACAUUCCACUAACCCCGCUGUUUAGGUUGUGUUAAGGCUUAUAGCUUUGACCACGAGCUAACCACCCCGUACUUCGGAGUCAGAGGAAUCGUUGUCGAAGUCAUGGUUCGGUAAGGAACAAGUAAUACCAGUGGGAAACUCCUCGGAACCCCUCGGAAACCCUCGGAAACCCUCGAUAAGCACUCUGCAAACCGCCAACUGACCUUGAUGCUAUAGGCAAGUACAGAAUAGCGACUAAUGUACGAAUGCAUACAGAACCUCUCCUGACAUGCAUCGUGCUCGGACUAGCUUGGAGACUGCGGAAAGUUGGCCCAGGUUCAACAAAAGGCGAUAAACACAAGCCUCUGCGGUCACGUGAACGCCCUAACUUAUCAUACUGUCUGCACAACAAGUUGGGUUAAUGUUCCAUACUAUGCGCAUAGAGGUUUGAGCGAGAGUUUUAGUCGUGAGCAGGUUAGGACAGAAUCGGAUCUAAACGAUAUAUUUUUGAGAGAUUUGGAGAUUUUCAUCAGGCCAUUCUCGCUUCUUCGACUCCCAUGUUGGCGUAUACGGCUCUGUUAGCUUGGGAUACAAGACUACUGCUACACGCUACUGUACGGUAUUGCAAACUACAAAGGUACCCCGUAUUUGACGCAAAAAAAACAGGGUAAAGACAUGCAAUGACGUAUUUGGCAUGCCUCGGUUCGCACAGUCAAUCCCCGAGCCCAACCACCGCCUUAGGGAGGAGCAGCAUCCACCUUGAAUGUAUCGUACACUGUACUGCACAUAAAUGG